RNAcentral lists this ribosomal RNA (260 nucleotides) under uncultured bacterium. RNAcentral's name for it is "partial 16S ribosomal RNA". It matches the Rfam family "Bacterial small subunit ribosomal RNA", at positions 334 to 609 of the family's 1533-position model. The record is from RNAcentral.
UUGCACCUACGGGGCGCAGCAGUGGGGGAUAUUGCACAAUGGGGGGAACCCUGAUGCAGCGACGCCGCGUGGGUGAAGGAGCGUUUCGGCGCGUAAAGCCCUAUCGGCAGGGAAGAAGGAGGACGGUACCCGACUAAGAAGCCCCGGCUAACUACGUGCCAGCAGCCGCGGUAAUACGUAGGGGGCAAGCGUUAUCCGGAUUUACUGGGUGUAAAGGGGGCGCAGCCGGCAGCGCAAGCCAGGAGUGAAAGCCCGGGGCC